Oncorhynchus gorbuscha (pink salmon) is the source of this 459-nucleotide long non-coding RNA. RefSeq lists it as uncharacterized. The transcript is spliced from 3 exons. The record is from RefSeq and is a predicted model, not a curated record. NCBI's taxonomy places the organism in Eukaryota, Metazoa, Chordata, Actinopteri, Salmoniformes, Salmonidae.
CAGAAAGGUUUGACAGUACAAUGAAGAUCAGACAUUGGUUAAUGUUUUUGUUUUACACCAACUUCACGGGGACGCCUCAGCAGAGAAAUUAUGGGAAUCCUCAUGCCAACACAUCAGACCAACAGGAUGGGAAUGAUGCCAUAAACUAUGCUGCCCUGAAGUUCACUGACAAGAAUAGUACCAGGCCAGGAGACAGAGGAGAGAAUGGAGAGAACAGAGAGAGGAAGAAACCAUCUACUCAGGUGUGAGUCAUCAAGACAGGGUGUAACAGAGUAGGGUCAUCCAAUCAGCAUCAUUCUAAGUUAAGCCCUACCCCUCCUCUGAACUCCAAUUUGAUCUUGACAUUGUCCUUGUUACCUGGCUAUUUUGUCCGUAGAGCUCUGAGACAGGAUUGGGUCGUGGAACAGAUCUGGGGAAGGGUACCAAAAAUGUCUGCAGCAUUGAAGGUCCCCAAGAACA